This 490-nucleotide ribosomal RNA is filed under the name uncultured archaeon. RNAcentral describes it as "bacterial SSU rRNA". It matches the Rfam family "Archaeal small subunit ribosomal RNA", at positions 324 to 814 of the family's 1478-position model. The record is from RNAcentral.
UACGGGGUGCAGCAGGCGCGAAAACUUUACAAUGCUGGCAACAGCGAUAAGGGAACCUCGAGUGCCAGGUUACAAAUCUGGCUGUCGAGAUGCCUAAAAAGCAUUUCAUAGCAAGGGCCGGGCAAGACCGGUGCCAGCCGCCGCGGUAACACCGGCGGCUCGAGUGGUAACCGUUAUUAUUGGGUCUAAAGGGUCUGUAGCCGGCCGGAUAAGUCUCUUGAGAAAUCUGGCAGCUUAACUGUCAGGCUUUCAGGAGAUACUGUCUGGCUCGAGGCCGGGAGAGGUGAGAGGUACUUCAGGGGUAGGGGUGAAAUCUUGUAAUCCUUGAAGGACCACCAGUGGCGAAGGCGUCUCACCAGAACGGACCUGACGGCAAGGGACGAAAGCUAGGGGCACGAACCGGAUUAGAUACCCGGGUAGUCCUAGCCGUAAACGAUACUCGCUAGGUGUCGGCCACGGUGCGACCGUUGUCGGUGCCGUAGGGAAGCCG